Molecule: long non-coding RNA, 1411 nt
Organism: Macrobrachium nipponense
Lineage: Eukaryota; Metazoa; Arthropoda; Malacostraca; Decapoda; Palaemonidae
Exons: 4
Source: RefSeq, a predicted model, not a curated record
GUCGCAUUUAAAGAUGACUCCAGGCUCUGUUAUUUGAGUUGGUAUGUACAUACUGGAGUUAGCCCUGGGUGCGCCAACAACCAGCCUGAACAGCAAGUUGUUAGUGAGGCAGACACCCAGCGGACCACAACCAAAGUGACCUAGAAGACAGAGUACCCCAGAAAGUCGGUAUGUACUUGAAGUGGUGAGAUCCCUUCCAAAUAAUAACCCUGCUCUUCCUCAUUGUUUGCUGUACACCAACAGGAGUCCUCAGUAAAGAGACGAGGAUUUAAAAGGAUUGGAGGCCAGCAGCUCGCGCUCAGAAGCAUACCAGACCUAAGAGAGGUCAGAGCUCCUCACCUGCGCCCUGCAGACGCCACCUCCUCCCCCCUUCUGCUUCCCCCCCUGGUCUCCUCUGGGAAGUCCCAAGUAUUUUUUAAAUUUCCAUAGUGCACAGAAACAUCAAGGAGAAGACUACGUUCAAGCCCCCCAGGAUCCACGUACUGUGAGAGUAAUUCCAGUUCAGCCAGGGAAUUGUUUUUACCUUUGUAUUUCAUUUCCUUUUUCUAUUCUUUAUUGAUAUAUAUAUAUAGCAAGUUAGUCAUUAUUCACGUCACACUUUAUUAUACUUAAUCCUCUGCCUGUCGAGUAAGACUUCAUGAAUAUUAUCAUCGGCAGAGUUUGAAUAUUGCUUAUAUUAUAAGUCCACUCAAUGGAGAAUGGAAGGCUCAGUAAUUUAUAUUUGCAAUUGGUCCUUGUUUACGGCUUGUCUUGUCCAUUCCAGCCUGUCUAGGGUUGAGAUGUACUCUAGAAUGGGGAGGUGUUCAAGAUUUUAAGCCAGAACCAAGGAAAGUAAAGUCUUUUACCAGUUUCAUGCAUCUUUGUCUAUAUGCAAGUUGCCCCUUUGAGCUCUAAACAUCCAUUCUCUCGAAAAAGCUAUCUCUUCUCCCAUUGCCUGUUGGAAUUACCCCCUACAGAGACGAGGAUUUAAAAGGAUUGCUACCUUCUCCCCCCUUGUGCUUCCCCCCCUGGUCUCCUCUGAGAAGUCCCAAGUAUUUUUUAAAUUUCCAUAGUGCACAGAAACAUUAAAGAGAAUACUACGUUCAAUCCCCCUGCACAGAAACAUCAAGGAGAAGACUACGUUCAAGCCCCCCAGGAUCCAGACAAACACCUUGCCUGAUUGUGGUUGGAAUUGGAAACCCUUGGAGCAAGCUUUCAUUUUCAAUCCGUUUGCGCAAAUUUCCAAACACCGUGUCUGGGUGCCCCUAGCCACGUUUUCCGGUGGAUCAACCAAUCGACCCCCUUAUUAGUCUCCUGGACCUCUGCAAAUUAAUGUAAAUACAAUGCAUUUUAAACUAAAGUCCAGCUUUUAUGUAAAUUCCUCCUUCUUCAGUAAUAUCAGCUUUAUGCCUUAGUAGUUUUUUUUCUUUUU